GGCACUACGGUGCUGAAGCAACAAAUGCCCUGCUUCCAGGAAAAGCCUCUAAGCAUCAGGUAACAUCAAAUCGUACCCCAAACCGACACAGGUGGUCAGGUAGAGAAUACCAAGGCGCUUGAGAGAACUCGGGUGAAGGAACUAGGCAAAAUGGUGCCGUAACUUCGGGAGAAGGCACGCUGAUAUGUAGGUGAAGUCCCUCGCGGAUGGAGCUGAAAUCAGUCGAAGAUACCAGCUGGCUGCAACUGUUUAUUAAAAACACAGCACUGUGCAAACACGAAAGUGGACGUAUACGGUGUGACGCCUGCCCGGUGCCGGAAGGUUAAUUGAUGGGGUUAGCGCAAGCGAAGCUCUUGAUCGAAGCCCCGGUAAACGGCGGCCGUAA
This 385-nucleotide ribosomal RNA is filed under the name Escherichia coli. RNAcentral's name for it is "partial 23S ribosomal RNA". It matches the Rfam family "Bacterial large subunit ribosomal RNA", at positions 1573 to 1939 of the family's 2925-position model. The record is from RNAcentral. Lineage: Bacteria; Pseudomonadati; Pseudomonadota; Gammaproteobacteria; Enterobacterales; Enterobacteriaceae.